This is a long non-coding RNA of Piliocolobus tephrosceles (Ugandan red Colobus), 636 nucleotides long. RefSeq lists it as uncharacterized. NCBI's taxonomy places the organism in Eukaryota, Metazoa, Chordata, Mammalia, Primates, Cercopithecidae. The transcript is spliced from 5 exons. The record is from RefSeq and is a predicted model, not a curated record.
CAGGACCCUCCGGGAGUCCCAGCCCCCCACCCAUCAGUCCCAUCCCCACACCUAGCCCUGAGGACCAGCCCCUCAACCCCACGGGGUCGGACCCCCAGAGUGGUCUGGGAAGGCACCUGGGGGUUGUGACUGGGGUCUCAGUGGCCUUCGUCCUGCUGCUCUUCCUCCUCCUCCUCCUCUUCCUCGUCCUCCGACAUCGACGUCAGGGCAAACGCUGGACAUCAGCCCACAGAAAGGCUGAUUUCCAACAUCCUGCCGGGGCUGUGGAGCCAGAGGCCAGAGACAGAGGCCCUCAGAGGAGGUCCAGUCCAGCUGCCGACACCCAGCAAGAAAACCUCUGUGAGUGACAGGAAGAGGCGACCAGCCAGGAGGAGAUGGGGGAGGCGACCAGCCAGGAGGAGAUGGGGGAGGCGACCAACCAGGAGGAGAUGGGGGAGGCGACCAGCCAGGAGGAAGAUGGGGGCCCCAAAGUUUCUGUGGCAAAGGGGAAAGGGGCACAGGCUGGAAAGGGUCUGGGGCUCAGGGUGAGAUGAUCUCACCCCACACUGUGGGACCUCGGGGACAUCGCAGCCCCUCCCUGCAUCGCAGUGGCCCCAACUGGGAGCUGGGCAGGGGCCGGCAGGACUCAGAGGUCUC